CCUACGGGUGGCAGCAGUGGGGAAUUUUGGACAAUGGGCGCAAGCCUGAUCCAGCCAUGCCGCGUGUCUGAAGAAGGCCUUCGGGUUGUAAAGGACUUUUGUCCAGGAGCAAGACUUAGAGAUGAAUAGUUUCUAGGGGUGAGAGUACUGGAAGAAUAAGCACCGGCUAACUACGUGCCAGCAGCCGCGGUAAUACGUAGGGUGCGAGCGUUAAUCGGAAUGACUGGGCGUAAAGAGUGCGUAGGCGGUUACGCGAGCUUGAUGUGAAAUCCCCGGGCUUAACCUGGGAAUGGCAUGGAGGACAGCGUAGCUAGAGUCUGUCAGAGGUGGGUAGAAUUCCCUGUGUAGCAGUGAAAUGCGUAGAGAUGGGGAGGAAUACCGAUGGCGAAGGCAGCCUGCUGGGAUAAGACUGACGCUGAGGCACGAAGGCGUGGGGAGCAAACAGGAUUAGAUACCCUUGUAGUC
Molecule: ribosomal RNA, 465 nt
Filed under: uncultured bacterium
Lineage: Bacteria
Description: bacterial SSU rRNA
Rfam family: Bacterial small subunit ribosomal RNA
Source: RNAcentral